GCUGGCGGCACGCCUUAUACAUGCAAGUCGAACGGAGUAGCAAUACUUAGUGGCAGACGGGUGAGUAACAUGUGGGUAUCUUCCCUUUGGUGAGGAAUAACACGAGGAAACUUGUGCUAAUACCUCAUAAGUCUUUACGGAGAAAGCUUUAUGCGCCAAUGGAUGAGCCUGCACUUGAUUAGUUUGUUGGUGGGGUAAUGGCCUACCAAGACUUUGAUCAAUAGCUGAUCUGAGAGGAUGAUCAGCCACAUUGGGACUGAGACACGGCCCAAACUCCUACGGGAGGCAGCAGUAGGGAAUAUUGCACAAUGGAGGAAACUCUGAUGCAGCGAUGCCGCGUGAGUGAAGAAGGCCUUUGGGUUGUAAAGCUCUUUCGUCGGGGAAGAAAAUGACUGUACCCGAAUAAGAAGGUCCGGCUAACUUCGUGCCAGCAGCCGCGGUAAUACGAAGGGACCUAGCGUAGUUCGGAAUUACUGGGCUUAAAGAGUUCGUAGGUGGUUAAAAAAGUUGGUUGUGAAAUCCCAGAGCUUAACUCUGGAACUGCAAUCAAAACUUUUUAGCUAGAGUAUGAUAGAGGAAAGCAGAAUUUCUAGUGUAGAGGUGAAAUUCGUAGAUAUUAGAAAGAAUACCAAUUGCGAAGGCAGCUUUCUGGAUCAUUACUGACGCUGAGGAACGAAAGCAUGGGUAGCGAAGAGGAUUAGAUACCCUCGUAGUCCAUGCCGUAAACGAUGUGUGUUAGACGUUGGAAAUUUAUUUUCAGUGUCGCAGCGAAAGCAUUAAACACACCGCCUGGGGAGUACGACCG
This 805-nucleotide ribosomal RNA is filed under the name uncultured Pelagibacteraceae bacterium. Its description in RNAcentral is "bacterial SSU rRNA". It matches the Rfam family "Bacterial small subunit ribosomal RNA", at positions 35 to 888 of the family's 1533-position model. Lineage: Bacteria; Pseudomonadati; Pseudomonadota; Alphaproteobacteria; Candidatus Pelagibacterales; Candidatus Pelagibacteraceae. The record is from RNAcentral.